AGACCCUCGAUCCCAUAACACUACGCUUCUUCAGUUGCCUUCCAUUUUUCUCACAGAAGUAAAGUGAUUUUCAGUUGUCCUUACUUUCCCCUGAGUGCCACAGCAGAUAUUUAUGGCUGAAUAAAUACAUUCUCCCCUGCAACCUCUGUUUGUGUUUUGCUCUCUCCAGCAGCUGCACAUCUGUUUCUGUUGAGCAGUCACCUGCGCGUGAUGCAGAAAGCACCGGAGUGACUUUGCUGUGAGCAACCAGAGCAAGAACUUGGGAGAGCCGGACUCUGGGAGUCUGUGAAGAUGGACUAUAUUUUUGGCAUAACAUCACUGACAGGAGUGUCUUGGGAGCUACAAAACAAUUUACAAAAUAUAUCAAGGCCAUCAGUGGUGCAGAGACCAUGCACCAAGCAAUGCUCAUUCUCCAGAUGUGCUCAGAGGUGGCCGGGCAGCCAAGGAGCAGACAUCCCUGCACUGACCCUGCACUGGCAGCAUCCUGGUGGCCUGGACCGAGGGAAGUAAGCAGGCAAUAAGAGCAGCCGGCACUUUGAAAAAGUGAUGGUAGGCCAGGUGGGGUCAGCAGAAAAAUAUUUAUAGUGGAAAUGGUGGAGCUUCCUUUGCACAGCUGACUUUUGUUGUGAUUCUGUUGUCUUUAGGAAGAUGAAACUCCAGUAAGCGAUCCUGCAUCUCAACAGAGUUGUCAGCAAAUGACUUCUGUCCCAAUGUUUUGGUGCCAUUUUUCCUGAGCUGCCUGUGUAAUCGAUGGUGAAUCUUUACAUGCCCAGAGUGAGUUACUCAAAUCCAAAGCCGUUCUGGAAAUGGUCUGUCUGACAGCCUUUUUAUUGGCAAAGAAGCUAUUUAAAUGAGAAACCUGUGUGAGAGAUGAACUGGCUGCCCCGUGCGAUGGCAAGCGGAAGCUGAUGAAUUCUGCUCGGGCAACCAGGUGACCUUUCUGCUUUCCACUCUAAUUACUUUCCUGUCAGAUGUUCAAUUAGAGUGACAGGGUCCCAAAUUCCCAACGAUCUCUGUUUUGUCUUAGAAGAUUAAAGGGUGGCAACUAUUUUCAAUAUGAUUAUCAUCAUUAUCUCUGGGAGAUUUUAUACUUCUGAAGUCAAAGUCAUAAUAGCCCAGCUCACUGCAAUUAUUUGCAAAUUGCCUUAAUGUAUUUUCCAGAAGCUUUUCCUGCACUUUGUAAUUUAUUUAUUUGCUAAGCCAAUAGCACAUUAAAAUGCUAAAAUGUCUAUGAACCUAUAUGAAGCCUGGCUGAUGGUAACUUGCAUGGACUGUGCCAGCAUCCUAUUUACCCACCAGUAAUCUUAUACAUGUUUUGUUAAAAUGCCUUUAUGGAUGUUCCUUUAAGUAAAAUACCUUGAAGAAUUCCUCUUUUUUUUUUUUUCUUUUUUUUCUUUUUUUUUUUCUUUUUUUUUUUUUUCUGUUUGGAGAUGUUGCAGUAGUUCUCUAUUGUGGUAGAAAUGUUUGUGAAAUUAUUUGUACAAACCAGUAUAGGAAAAUACCAACAGACAGAAAACAUGGUCAGCUUCUCAAAAUAUGCCUUUUCUCUGGAAGCAUGUUUCUGAAGUGGGAGACUGACCCACCAAGGAAUGGAAACAGCAGUUUACUGGGAACCACACAGUGGGGCUCCAUUUUCUGUUGCAGGAACAAGCAGGUCUAAGAGCUACUGGGGUGUUUUUGGGUGCGCUCACUGAAUGCACUUUUUAUUCUCAAUGGGGAGUAGAGGAUGGAGAGAUGAUGUGCCCUGUGUAUUAAAUUGAAACUAACCCAAAUAGCUUAUAAAACACGCUCAGCUAAUUAUUCAGGAGUAAUUUACAGACCAAGAGUUACAUUGCAAUAAUUGUGAAUAAUGACUGAACCACAAAAAAAUGGUAGAUGGCUUGCAGGCAUUUUGUGAACAGAAAAUGAGGCUAAAUUCAUUGAAUAAAUUAAUUGCUAUGGAUUAUUCUUUCA
This 1953-nucleotide long non-coding RNA is filed under the name Anas platyrhynchos platyrhynchos (common mallard). Its description in RNAcentral is "lncRNA (ENSAPLG00000017774.1)". Lineage: Eukaryota; Metazoa; Chordata; Aves; Anseriformes; Anatidae. The record is from RNAcentral.